ACCAAACUUCAGAAUAUAAAGAAGAAAAGAUACCUGACAACGCUUCUCAAAAUAACAAUGCAGUGGAUGGAAUUUCUGAAGACCGUACAAUCAGGAUUUCCAGCAACAUGGGUAUUGAUGAUUUACGACCUACAUCAUAUGGUGAAGACUUCAGUGUCAAUACCAAGGGUGUUCCACAACGAAGCUUAACAAACUUAAUUACUGCUUCUCAGAGAUCCAGGAAAAACUUAGAAGCAAAAUAUUGUACUGUGAGAACAGAUGAUGGAAUCGUGUUUGAGGACAAGAUCUGUGAUCAUCCAAAUGAAGAUGUGCUUGAAUCCUUUCCUACAACAUCAGCCAAAGUUCAGGGCUUUUCACA
Lemur catta (Ring-tailed lemur) is the source of this 358-nucleotide long non-coding RNA. RefSeq lists it as uncharacterized. The transcript is spliced from 5 exons. The record is from RefSeq and is a predicted model, not a curated record. NCBI's taxonomy places the organism in Eukaryota, Metazoa, Chordata, Mammalia, Primates, Lemuridae.